AAUUCGAAUACUAUUUGGAUAAUUUUUUUCGUUUAUAAUAGAAACACAUAUAUUAAAUUAUGAAUACGCGAAAUUAGGAAUAGAUUUUACCUUCAGACACGCGGUCCUGGUCGCUAGCGCCACCACGCGUUAUCAUACGCGUGUCACCGAAAAUGUCAGGCGUUGAUGAUCGAAUCAGCACAUGUUGUCAUAUGCGACCCACCAACAUCAUAUUUGGUCGCCACCCCUCCAUUUUUCUUCCUUUUUUUUCUUUUCUUUCAUCAUUUUUUCUUUUUUUUUUCUCUUUUUUUUCUUCAUUCUCCCCUUUUUUUUCUUUUUUUCUUUUUUC
Molecule: long non-coding RNA, 328 nt
Filed under: Carica papaya (papaya)
Lineage: Eukaryota; Viridiplantae; Streptophyta; Magnoliopsida; Brassicales; Caricaceae
Description: long non-coding RNA (CPAP_LNC003339)
Source: RNAcentral